Molecule: transfer-messenger RNA, 348 nt
Filed under: bacterium
Lineage: Bacteria
Also listed under: 2 other names
Description: DTU015 sp012837895 Standard tmRNA
Rfam family: transfer-messenger RNA
About the family: Bacterial tmRNA, also known as 10Sa RNA or SsrA, is named for its dual tRNA and mRNA-like properties.
Source: RNAcentral
GGGGGCGAAUCAGGUUCGACGUAGGUAAUUGGGUUUGAGUAGCGAGCAUGGGUGCCGCACCCACAACAGCGGCAAACAAAUAACUGCCAAUACAAAUUACGCACUGGCUGCUUAAUUAGACAGCCACGGUACCAGGGAGAAAGCUUCCCUAUCCCUGAGCUACCGUCACUAGGGAAGAUACCUGUAAGGGGGUGCUCGGGACCUUACAGGGAACCCGAUUCUGAGCUGGCGGGGAAAGAAGCCCGCUCCGGGGCGGCUUACCCUGCGAGAACAGUACCGGAGCUACGCUCGUAGAGACUGAAACUUGGUUGCUUGCGGACGAGGGUGCAAUUCCCUCCGCCUCCACCA